RNAcentral lists this ribosomal RNA (503 nucleotides) under uncultured bacterium. Its description in RNAcentral is "partial 16S ribosomal RNA". It matches the Rfam family "Bacterial small subunit ribosomal RNA", at positions 30 to 523 of the family's 1533-position model. The record is from RNAcentral.
AUUGAACGCUGGCGGCAGGCUUAACACAUGCAAGUCGAGCGGGGUGAUGGUGCUUGCACUAUCACUUAGCGGCGGACGGGUGAGUAAUGCUUAGGAAUCUGCCUAUUAGUGGGGGACAACAUCUCGAAAGGGAUGCUAAUACCGCAUACGUCCUACGGGAGAAAGCAGGGGAUCACUUGUGACCUUGCGCUAAUAGAUGAGCCUAAGUCGGAUUAGCUAGUUGGUGGGGUAAAGGCCUACCAAGGCGACGAUCUGUAGCGGGUCUGAGAGGAUGAGCCGCCACACUGGGACUGAGACACGGCCCAGACUCCUACGGGAGGCAGCAGUGGGGAAUAUUGGACAAUGGGGGGAACCCUGAUCUAGCCAUGCCGCGUGUGUGAAGAAGGCCUUAUGGUUGUAAAGCACUUUAAGCGAGGAGGAGGCUCUUUUGGUUAAUACCCAAGAUGAGUGGACGUUGCUCGCAGAAUAAGCACCGGCUAACUCUGUGCCAGCCGCCGCCGUAA